UUAGGUUAAGUUAUGAAGGGCGCAUGGUGAAUGCCUUGGUACUAGGAGCCGAUGAAGGACGGGACUAACACCGAUAUGCUUCGGGGAGCGGUAAGUACGCUUUGAUCCGGAGAUUUCCGAAUGGGGCAACCCAAUCAGCUUAGUCGCUGAUUACUUGACUAGUGAAUACAUAGCUAGCAAGAGGUAGACGCAGUGAACUGAAACAUCUUAGUAGCUGCAGGAAGAGAAAGAAACAUCGAUUCCCUGAGUAGCGGCGAGCGAAAAGGGAAGAGCCCAAACCAACAAGCUUGCUUGUUGGGGUUGUAGGACUGAACAUUAGAGUUACCAAAGUGCGACGUAGUCGCAACAGUUGGGAAGCUGUGCCAUAGAGGGUGAAAGCCCCGUAGACGAAACGUCACACUCUCUGUUCAGGAUCCUGAGUACGGCGGGACACGUGAAACCCCGUCGGAACCCGCGAGGACCAUCUCGCAAGGCUAAAUACUCCCUAGUGACCGAUAGUGAACCAGUACCGUGAGGGAAAGGUGAAAAGCACCCCGGAAGGGGAGUGAAAUAGUUCCUGAAACCAUGUGCCUACAAGCUGUCGGAGCCCGUUAAUGGGUGACGGCGUGCCUCU
RNAcentral lists this ribosomal RNA (613 nucleotides) under Campylobacter jejuni. RNAcentral describes it as "partial 23S ribosomal RNA". It matches the Rfam family "Bacterial large subunit ribosomal RNA", at positions 1 to 608 of the family's 2925-position model. The record is from RNAcentral. Lineage: Bacteria; Pseudomonadati; Campylobacterota; Epsilonproteobacteria; Campylobacterales; Campylobacteraceae.